This 888-nucleotide ribosomal RNA is filed under the name uncultured bacterium. Its description in RNAcentral is "bacterial SSU rRNA". It matches the Rfam family "Bacterial small subunit ribosomal RNA", at positions 8 to 944 of the family's 1533-position model. The record is from RNAcentral.
AGAGUUUGAUCAUGGCUCAGAACGUACGCUGGCGGCACGCCUAACACAUGCAAGUCGAACGCAGUAGCAAUACUGAGUGGCAAACGGGUGAGUAUAAUGUGGGAAUCUGCCUUUUGGUUUGGAAUAACACGGGGAAACUUGUGCUAAUACCGAAUAAGCCUUUACAGGGAAAGUUUUAACGCCGAAAGAUGAGCCCGCACUUGAUUAGCUAGUUGGUAAGGUAAAAGCUUACCAAGGCAACGAUCAAUAGCUGUUCUUAGAGGAAGACCAGCCACAUUGGGACUGAGACACGGCCCAGACUCCUACGGGAGGCAGCAGUGGGGAAUCUUGCACAAUGGGGGAAACCCUGAUGCAGCGAUGCCGCGUGAGUGAAGAAGGCCUUUGGGUUGUAAAACUCUUUCGUCGGGGAAGAAAAUGACUGUACCCGAAUAAGAAGGUCCGGCUAACUUCGUGCCAGCAGCCGCGGUAAUACGAAGGGACCUAGCGUAGUUCGGAAUUACUGGGCUUAAAGAGCUCGUAGGUGGUUAAAAAAGUUGAUGGUGAAAUCCCAAGGCUCAACCUUGGAACUGCCAUCAAAACUUUUUAGCUAGAGUGUGAUAGAGGUAAGUGGAAUUUCUAGUGUAGAGGUGAAAUUCGUAGAUAUUAGAAAGAACACCAAAUGCGAAGGCAACUUACUGGGUCACAACUGACACUGAGGAGCGAAAGCAUGGGUAGCGAAGAGGAUUAGAUACCCUCGUAGUCCAUGCCGUAAACGAUGUGUGCUAGACGUUGGAAAUAUAUUUUUCAGUGUCGCAGCGAAAGCAUUAAGCACACCGCCUGGGGAGUACGACCGCAAGGUUAGAACUCAAAUGAAUUGACGGGGACCCGCACAAGCAGUGGAGCAUGUGG